This 367-nucleotide ribosomal RNA is filed under the name uncultured alga. RNAcentral describes it as "partial 23S ribosomal RNA". It matches the Rfam family "Bacterial large subunit ribosomal RNA", at positions 2098 to 2465 of the family's 2925-position model. The record is from RNAcentral.
GCUUGACUGUAGCUUGUAAUUGGGUUCGGGCUUUUUUUGCGCAGCCUAGGUGGGAGGCAACGAUGAUUUUUUUCCGGAAAAAUUUGAGCCGUUAGUGAGAGACCACUCUGAAAAGGCUAGAAUCCUAAUAAUGAUCCUUGAAUCAGGACAUUUGACAGUUGCAGGUGGGCAGUUUUACUGGGGCGGUAUUCUCCUAAAAAGUAACGGAGGGGUGCAAAGGUCCCUCAAGCUGGACGGAAAUCAGCUUAAGAGUGUAAAGGCAAAGGGAGCUUGACUGCAAGACCUACAAGUCGAGCAGGGGCGAAAGCCGGCCUUAGUGAUCCGACGGUACCACGUGGAAGGGCCGUCGCUCAACGGAUAAAAGUUA